Molecule: ribosomal RNA, 250 nt
Filed under: uncultured bacterium
Lineage: Bacteria
Description: partial 16S ribosomal RNA
Rfam family: Bacterial small subunit ribosomal RNA
Source: RNAcentral
GACAGAGGGUGCGAACGUUGCUCGGAAUUACUGGGCGUAAAGCGCGUGUAGGCGGUUUCGCAAGUCCGGUGUGAAAGCCCGGGCUUAACCCCGGAAUUGCACCUAAACUACUUGGCUAGAGCAUUGGAGAGGGGAGCAGAAUUCAUGGUGUAGCAGUGAAAUGCGUAGAUAUCAUGAGGAAUACCAGAGGCGAAGGCGGCUACCUGGACAAUUGCUGACGCUCAGGCACGAAAGCGUGGGAGCAAAAGGG